AGUUCGACUAGCUUAUGUUUUGAACACUAGAAGAUGAUAGACAUGUAUAAUAUUAUUUAUGCAUAUGUACAUAAUAAUAUGUUACAUAUUCAUACUUACAUACAUAAAAAUCAUUCACGGUUAAGGAACAAAUCCUUCCGAUGAACACACAAAUAGAUGUACCCACUGGAUAUCGAACCCGGGACCUCCAGUUUGGUAUGCAGUUAUUUCUCUCUUUUUUUACAAAUAAAAACGCCAACACAUGAAAUUUACUAAUCCAAGACCUCCAAUCUUCGUAAAACUUACUAAGUUCUUGUGCACUAUAGGUUUACAACAACAAUAAAUAAUGAAUUUGAAAGAGAGAAAAAAAAAACUAAAUUUUAUAGUAUCAUACCGCAAACGUUUCUGUUUAAUACAAAAUUAAUUUGGCAUUCAGCUGGCAGUAGGGUCGGGAAGGCAUAGUUCAACAUGGAGGUGGUCAGUUAAGAAGGAGGCUGGCUCAACUGGACUCGACUGAAAAUAGCUGGAAGUAACCGCUCAAGAUCGCGACAAAUGGAUAAUAAAUCUGGGAGCCCUAUGUCUCAAAUUAAUUUACAAUAAUUAAUGUUUCUAAACUAUUCUCCUGCCACAGGUAAUGUCUAUAUCUACUAGGAGAUCUUAACUUUUAUAAAUUAACCUGCAUUGUUUAACAGAAAUAAACAUUUUACAUUUUUUUUUUUUCGUUUUUUUUUUUUCAUUCCAUUAGAACUUCCUACGUUGGUCACUCCUAUGAAUUAUAUAAACCUAAUGUAAUAGAAUUUUAAACUCCGUUCGGCCAUCCCACAAAACAACUAUUUUAAAAGUCAGUGAUCAAUAUUAUCUAUGUAUUCAAUAUGUAUAGAUCUAUCUUUUAUUUAGCUGAAGCUUCGGUGGCAAAAUAAAAAUGUGGUUACAAAUAAUAGGCAACGUACUUUUUUUUAUGAAAUGGUAUUUUGGAGCUUCCAUCGUAACAAGUCCAUAAACCCCAGGAGAUAACGCGAUAUUCUUCUAGUUGAAUCUUAACUUAUCGUACAGAGGCGGAUUCAUCUUACAAAAGUCAUCCUCUAGGAGGUCUAGGAUGUUUUGGGCUUCUGGGUAUGACACAAUUAAUUCAAAGACAUAUUAUUUAUAUCAGUCAUGCUUCAUUAUGGCAAUAGGUUAGGUAU
This is a long non-coding RNA of Cydia splendana, 1163 nucleotides long. RefSeq lists it as uncharacterized. The record is from RefSeq and is a predicted model, not a curated record. The transcript has 2 exons. NCBI's taxonomy places the organism in Eukaryota, Metazoa, Arthropoda, Insecta, Lepidoptera, Tortricidae.